AAUAUUUGAAAAUGGUGGCAACCCUGAUCCAGCCAUGCCGCGUGUGUUAAGAAUGUCUUAUGAAUGUAAAGCACUUUAAUUUGAGAGAAAUGGCUUUAGAUUAAUACCCUUAAGUUUUGACGUUACCAACAGAAUAAGCACCGUCUAACUCUGUGCCACCAGCCGCGGUAAUACAGAGUGUCCAAUCGUUAAUCGGAAUUACUGUGAGUAAAGCGCGGGUAGGUGGUUCAGUAAGAUGGGUGUGAAAUCCCCGGGCUUAACCUGGGAACUGCUUUCAUAACUGCUGAGCUAGAGUACGGUAGAGGGUAGUGGAAUUUCCUGUGUAGCGGUGAAAUGCGUAGAUAUAGGAAGGAACACCAGUGGCGAAGGCGACUACCUGGACUGAUACUGACACUGAGGUGCGAAAGCGUGGGGAGCAAAC
RNAcentral lists this ribosomal RNA (421 nucleotides) under uncultured bacterium. RNAcentral's name for it is "partial 16S ribosomal RNA". It matches the Rfam family "Bacterial small subunit ribosomal RNA", at positions 360 to 773 of the family's 1533-position model. The record is from RNAcentral.